Molecule: ribosomal RNA, 406 nt
Filed under: Erwinia sp.
Lineage: Bacteria; Pseudomonadati; Pseudomonadota; Gammaproteobacteria; Enterobacterales; Erwiniaceae
Description: bacterial SSU rRNA
Rfam family: Bacterial small subunit ribosomal RNA
Source: RNAcentral
CGCCGCGGUAAUACGGAGGGUGCAAGCGUUAAUCGGAAUUACUGGGCGUAAAGCGCACGCAGGCGGUCUGUCAAGUCAGAUGUGAAAUCCCCGGGCUUAACCUGGGAACUGCAUUUGAAACUGGCAGGCUAGAGUCUUGUAGAGGGGGGUAGAAUUCCAGGUGUAGCGGUGAAAUGCGUAGAGAUCUGGAGGAAUACCGGUGGCGAAGGCGGCCCCCUGGACAAAGACUGACGCUCAGGUGCGAAAGCGUGGGGAGCAAACAGGAUUAGAUACCCUGGUAGUCCACGCCGUAAACGAUGUCGACUUGGAGGUUGUGCCCUUGAGGUGUGGCUUCCGGAGCUAACGCGUUAAGUCGACCGCCUGGGGAGUACGGCCGCAAGGUUAAAACUCAAAUGAAUUGACGGAA